GGAGGGAUCGCAUAGAGGCCUAGUGCGGGCGCCUGCUAAGCGCUUAACCCGUCAAAAGCGGGUUCAUGGGUGCGAAUCCCAUUCCCUCCGCCA
RNAcentral lists this transfer RNA (93 nucleotides) under SAR202 cluster bacterium. Its description in RNAcentral is "tRNA-Ser". It matches the Rfam family "tRNA". Rfam says of the family: Transfer RNA (tRNA) molecules are approximately 80 nucleotides in length. Their secondary structure includes four short double-helical elements and three loops (D, anti-codon, and T loops). Lineage: Bacteria; Bacillati; Chloroflexota; Dehalococcoidia. The record is from RNAcentral.